AGAGUUUGAUCCUGGCUCAGAACGAACGCUGCGGCAGGCUUAACACAUGCAAGUCGAACGCCCCGCAAGGAGAGUGGCAGACGGGUGAGUAACGCGUGGGAAUCUACCUAGUUCUACGGAACAACAGUUGGAAACGACUGCCAAUACCGUAUACGCCCUACGGGGGAAAGAUUUAUCGGAAUUAGAUGAGCCCGCGUAAGAUUAGCUAGUUGGUGGGGUAAUGGCCUACCAAGGCGACGAUCUUUAGCUGGUCUGAGAGGAUGAUCAGCCACACUGGGACUGAGACACGGCCCAGACUCCUACGGGAGGCAGCAGUGGGGAAUAUUGGACAAUGGGCGCAAGCCUGAUCCAGCCAUGCCGCGCGAGUGAUGAAGGCCUUAGGGUUGUAAAGCUCUUUCAGUGGGGAAGAUAAUGACGGUACCACAGAANAAGCCCCGGCUAACUUCGUGCCAGCAGCCGCGGUAAUACGAAAAGGGGCUAGCGUUGUUCGGAUUUACUGGGGCGUUAAGCGCACCUUAGCGGAUUGGUAAAGUUAAGGGUGGAAAAUCCUUGAACUCAACUNCCAGAAAUGGCCUUUAAUACUGGCCAGUCUAAAAUUCCCGAA
This 604-nucleotide ribosomal RNA is filed under the name uncultured Alphaproteobacteria bacterium. RNAcentral's name for it is "bacterial SSU rRNA". It matches the Rfam family "Bacterial small subunit ribosomal RNA", at positions 8 to 654 of the family's 1533-position model. Lineage: Bacteria; Pseudomonadati; Pseudomonadota; Alphaproteobacteria. The record is from RNAcentral.